This is a long non-coding RNA of Sorghum bicolor (sorghum), 1499 nucleotides long. RefSeq lists it as uncharacterized. NCBI's taxonomy places the organism in Eukaryota, Viridiplantae, Streptophyta, Magnoliopsida, Poales, Poaceae. The transcript has 4 exons. The record is from RefSeq and is a predicted model, not a curated record.
UCUCCUCUCCUGAACCUCUCCUUUCUCUGUUGAUCCGGUGGCAUCUCCUCCUUUCUCUCAUUCUCUCAGAUCCAGAUUGGCUGCUCAUCGAGGCGGAGGGCUUCAGUCGGCGGCGAUCCCUGCCACCGCGGCCUCCUCAUCCCCAACAGCGGCGGCACCUCCUUCGCCCCCUCAAGCAUCCACGACUGCUACUCCCCGACCGGCAACCGCGACGCUCCUGGUGGCCGCACGGCUAGGCCCACUCGGGGAAGGCUACGGCGGCACGAUGCACCAUCAGCACGUUUGCUGGGGCCCUUCCGUUCCAACGAUGGCGGCGCCCUUCGUGUACGGACACGCCGCGUGCAGGGCAAUGCUGUCCACGCCGGAUUGCAUGGCCUGCCUCCGCUCCAUCGUGAGCCAUAUGGACGCGGCGCCAGGGCCGUGCUUCUUGACUGCAGCUUGCGCUAUGAGCAGUACGUGUUCAUGGAUUAAUUAACUAAUCCAGAGCCAUGGCCGCCGGUGCCUCCAUUGACCACCUGCUUCCUCCUCAUGCAAGUAUGGAUUGAAUAGGCAACAUGUGGGAUCAGGGCAGCAUUAGGAGGCGACCUGUGAUUUCCUCCACCUCCCUUCCAAAUCCGGUGUUGAAUCGAGAAGCAGAUCUGAUGCUAACUCAUUUAUUCCACCAUGCUUUUCAUGCAGUGAUUUCGUCCAUUGUGCUUUCUAUAUGCAGGCAACCAGUGAUUUUAUGCAAUUCAUUUUCAUGCAUUUUUGAAUUUUGGAUACAUUUCUAGCUGAUACUUGGUAUACACUGUUGGAAUAUUUCUAUACAUUAUCGGUGCCAAAAAUAUUUCUGCGCAACUUGACUACUAAUUCUAUGAAUCUGAUCGCCCAUUGCAUGCUAUUUUUUAAAUUUUGGAGAAAAUGAGAUCAUCUGCAUCUUUUACGUGUGUGAUCUCCAUGUUCUAUGUAUAUAUUGUUCCCAUGUUAAUUAUACACCCCUAAUGAUAUUUUUGGUUUAGAUGCACUGUUAGAAUAAUUAUCUGCGCACAAUUCUUUUAUGCUUAGUUGUAUGGGUUUUAUCUGAUUUUUUGGUUGCAGCCUUGGAUGAAUAGGUGGUUUGCAUGAAAUGAAAAGCUAUAAACGCAAAACCAUUCUGGUGGCAAGUCCACUGCCUGAUGCAGUCCACGGCCGCGGUGCUAGUAUGAAGCAGCAGUGGCGGGUGGUGGCGUGUAGUUCACGGCGGCGGCGCUAGUGCGAAUCAGUGGUGGUGGUCAGUUCGAUGGAAGAUAGCAAAGGAGCAGCACGACGCGGCCAAGGAUUUUUGCAUUUUGUUUGUUGAAUUUAGUGUUCUUAUGUUUGUGUGCAUAAGUUUCUAUACACACAAUGGAGCACUUCUAUGUAUUUUUGUAUUCUUAAUGCUUGUGAGCAUAAGUUUCUAUACAUUGUUGGAGCAGGUCUAUGUUGUUUUUAUGCGACAAUAAAUUCACUUUUUAUUCAUCAAAUUACUAAAUUCUAUGUAA